This 99-nucleotide signal recognition particle RNA is filed under the name Candidatus Paracaedibacteraceae bacterium. RNAcentral's name for it is "signal recognition particle sRNA small type". It matches the Rfam family "Bacterial small signal recognition particle RNA". Rfam says of the family: The signal recognition particle (SRP) is a universally conserved ribonucleoprotein involved in the co-translational targeting of proteins to membranes. Archaeal SRP consists of a 7S RNA and homologues of the eukaryotic SRP19 and SRP54 proteins. Lineage: Bacteria; Pseudomonadati; Pseudomonadota; Alphaproteobacteria; Holosporales; Candidatus Paracaedibacteraceae. The record is from RNAcentral.
GGAAGGUCUGUGGGUAGACAUUGUACUUGUGAACCCGGUCAGGUCCGGAAGGAAGCAGCCGAAGCAAAAUACAAUGGGUUACUUACGUGACCUUCUGCU